CAGGCCUUGACAUCCAAUGAACUUUCCAGAGAUGGAUUGGUGCCUUCGGGAACAUUGAGACAGGUGCUGCAUGGCUGUCGUCAGCUCGUGUCGUGAAAUGUUGGGUUAAGUCCCGCAACGAGCGCAACCCUUAUCCUUUGUUGCCAGCGGUCCGGCCGGGAACUCAAAGGAGACUGCCAGUGAUAAACUGGAGGAAGGUGGGGAUGACGUCAAGUCAUCAUGGCCCUUACGACCAGGGCUACACACGUGCUACAAUGGCGCAUACAAAGAGAAGCGACCUCGCGAGAGCAAGCGGACCUCAUAAAGUGCGUCGUAGUCCGGAUUGGAGUCUGCAACUCGACUCCAUGAAGUCGGAAUCGCUAGUAAUCGUGGAUCAGAAUGCCACGGUGAAUACGUUCCC
This 400-nucleotide ribosomal RNA is filed under the name uncultured bacterium. RNAcentral describes it as "bacterial SSU rRNA". It matches the Rfam family "Bacterial small subunit ribosomal RNA", at positions 975 to 1375 of the family's 1533-position model. The record is from RNAcentral.